Molecule: long non-coding RNA, 359 nt
Filed under: Pongo abelii (Sumatran orangutan)
Lineage: Eukaryota; Metazoa; Chordata; Mammalia; Primates; Hominidae
Description: lncRNA (ENSPPYG00000031561.1)
Source: RNAcentral
UUCCUGGAAUGAGUGAACAAAGUUAAGGACUUGCAGAGAGAGUUUUCUGCUGGAAUGUAAGAGGUUUUGAAGGCUCUCUUUUCUGCAAAGGCCAUGUAUAGCAAUUUUCCAACAAACUUUCCAGUUUAAUUCGGAACUGAACAGUGGAAUUCCAAAGCACGGCUCGAGAGGAACUCAGUCUGCUUCUGUUGUGGCACCAGAGAAGCAUCACUGAGUUUUCUAUUUGCAAGUUGGCUGGAAGCAUUCAACAUGGUGACAUAUCCACAGAGAUGUUCCUACUUGAUGUGAAGACAAAGAUGAAUACCUCCAUGAUGAGCCAUCUCCACUUAAUGACUGCCUCACGUUGGCCGGCAACUUGU